Molecule: non-coding RNA, 2004 nt
Organism: Salmo salar (Atlantic salmon)
Lineage: Eukaryota; Metazoa; Chordata; Actinopteri; Salmoniformes; Salmonidae
Source: RefSeq, a predicted model, not a curated record
UGGCCCUGAGCGAUAAACAUGCAAAAGCACAGUGGGUUUAGCUGCUGCACCAACCAAAAGAAUCUGGAGUAGGAUUCCAGGGCAUUAAAACCCCUGUAGAGGAAGUUCCAGUAGGCUGUCUCUAGUGUAAAGUAAAGAGAAUGGAAUGAUGACUUUAAGGCGACUGUCAGCCUCUCUGCCAGGCUUACGUCUGGAAUUACAACAUUUAUUUGAAACCCAACGCCACUGCUGAAGCCAUGCAAGUCACCCAUAAUGGGAAAGCUCAUCAGAUCCUUAACGGUGCCCCUGACUGGGCAUAUGAGGAGGAGGUUUUCUCAUCCAAUGAGGCAAUAUGGUGGUCACCAACUGGAAAGUAUCUGUCUGAUGUUGAGUUUAAUGACACAAUCGAGUUAUUUUUGGAUGGAUAUGGACAAUACCCCAAAACGGUGGUUGUCCCAUACCCUAAGGUGGGAUGUUGUAAUAUGGGCCCUUUUUAAAACAUGGUAUGAAUGUCAUAAGAAUGAUAUAUAUACCACAGAUAGCAGGUAAUAGGUCAAAUAUACAGUAUACCAUGAUCACGCAUUAUGUGUGUGUUGUACAUUGUACAGAGUAAAUACAGUAUUUGAAGUAUAUGUACUGUAUCCUGAAAGAAUGCCCCACAUUUUUGUUAUUCGUGUUAUCUCCUGUCAAGGCUGGUUCAACAAAUUCUAAGGCAAAGCUAUUUGUGGUGGACACAACAAAUCCGUCAAGGUGGACACAGGUGGUGGUGCCAGAUUCCUUUGGUGCAGGUGAUCACUAUUUGAGAUCAGUCACAUGGGGUGACAGAUGAGCACGUCGCUGUUCAGUGCACCAGGAGGAAGCAGAACCAUGUCCUUUUACAGAUCUAUGACCUUGACGGAAACAACUGGAAUGAGAACCAGAAAUGUGAACAAGUAAGCAAGACAGGUUGGGUUGACCAGGGCAAGGCAACACCCAUUACCUCAGGCAAAUGGGAGGUCAUCUACAUUUCAGAACUCACCCAAGGCGCUAUGGUUAUGAUCGGAAGGAGCCACUGUGCUCCCCCAGUGCCUCACCUGUGGCCUGUAUCAGGACAGGUGUCAGUACAACUCAGCCUACUUCAGCUACGAUGCCUCUUACUACCGCAUGGACUGCUAUGAACCUGGAACACCUUUGUUCACACUCAGGGACGAUAGAGGCUCAGGUGAAGAGCUCCUGGUUCUUCGUGACAACAAAGAUCUUGAAGACAUGAUAAAAUAAUUCCAAAUGCCGACCAUGCAGUGUGGGACCCUGAGGGUAGCAGAAUUUGAUCUUUGGUAUCAAAUGAUGUUACGCCCUAAUUUCCCCCAAAAAAUAAAAGUACCCUCUUCUAAUUGAUAUAUAUGGAGGCCCCUGUAGUCAGAAGGCAGAUUAUCGCUAAAGACUGAACUGGGGUUCGUACCUCUCCAGUACAGAGGGGAUCAUACUGGCCAGUUUCAAUGGACAGGGAAGCAUCUACCAACGUCUUGGAACAUUGAAGUCAAAUGGUGGCUUUGUCACGUGGAUGGCUUUGGGGGUGUCACGUCUGCUCCUGCUCCUCCCCUACGGCGUUCGACGUCGCCGGUAUACUAACCACCGGUCCUGGGAUCCAUCAUUACGCACACCUGGCAUCAAUCAUUACCUCACUUAUUACCUCCCCUAUAUUUGGCACUCCCUUAGGUUGUUUCCUGAUAGAAGAAUUUGAAUGUUUAAAGGUAAUGACUAAAGUAUUCCACCCAAAAUUAUAUAACUGUGUGAAAUGUGUUAGACUCAAGAAUAUAAUCUGAGAAUGUGUGUAGCUCUGUUAGAAUUCUAGAACUAUGGCAUUAUAUUAUUUUGUAGAUGUGCAAGCAGGGUGCAGCUGCAAAACAGAUAACAGAAAACCAUUAGAGGUCUUCAAACCAAGGGGCCCCAAUGGGGGAGGAGAAGUGAAAGACUUGAAGAAUGUGACAAGAUUGAUAGUUCUUUCUCUAUUCUGUGGUCAGUGGAAAAAUACUGUUUGUUUGAACA